RNAcentral lists this ribosomal RNA (962 nucleotides) under Dictyonella sp. SX271. RNAcentral's name for it is "SSU rRNA". It matches the Rfam family "Eukaryotic small subunit ribosomal RNA", at positions 41 to 1001 of the family's 1831-position model. Lineage: Eukaryota; Metazoa; Porifera; Demospongiae; Bubarida; Dictyonellidae. The record is from RNAcentral.
AGACUAAGCCAUGCAUGUCCAAGUAUAAACGCUGUUAUACUGUGAAACUGCGAAUGGCUCAUUAAAUCAGUUAUAGUUUAUUUGAUGGUUUCUUGCUACUUGGAUAACCGUAGUAAUUCUAGAGCUAAUACAUGCAGAAAGUCCCGACUUCUGGAAGGGAUGUAUUUAUUAGAUCCAAAACCAGCGCGGGUCUCCUCGUGGGGCUCGGUUGCUCGGUGAUUCAUGAUAACUGCUCGAAUCGCAGGGCCUCGUGCCGGCGAUGAUCCAUUCAAAUUUCUGCCCUAUCAACUUUCGAUGGUACGGUAGUGGCCUACCAUGGUUGCAACGGGUGACGGAGAAUUAGGGUUCGAUUCCGGAGAGGGAGCCUGAGAAACGGCUACCACAUCCAAGGAAGGCAGCAGGCGCGCAAAUUACCCAAUCCCGACUCGGGGAGGUAGUGACAAUAAAUAACAAUGCCGGGCUAUGUUAGUCUGGCAAUUGGAAUGAGUACAAUCUAAACCCCUUAACGAGGAACAAUUGGAGGGCAAGUCUGGUGCCAGCAGCCGCGGUAAUUCCAGCUCCAAUAGCGUAUAUUAAAGUUGUUGCAGUUAAAAAGCUCGUAGUUGGAUUUCGGGGCAGCCCGUCUGGUCCGUCGCGAGGCGAGUACUGGUCGUGCGCCCUUCCUCUCGGAGGCCCCGACUGCUCUUCGUUGCAGUGGUCGGGGAGUUCGGGACGUUUACUUUGAAAAAAUUAGAGUGUUCAAGGCAGGCCGUCGCCUGAAUACGUUAGCAUGGAAUAAUGGAAGAGGACCUCGGUCCUAUUUUGUUGGUUUCCAGGGCCGAAGUAAUGAUUAAGAGGGACAGUUGGGGGCAUUCGUAUUUAAUUGUCAGAGGUGAAAUUCUCGGAUUUAUGAAAGACGAACAAGUGCGAAAGCAUUUGCCAAGGAUGUUUUCAUUAAUCAAGAACGAAAGUUGGGGGUUCGA